CACGUAGGGCGCAAGCGUUGUCCGGAAUUAUUGGGCGUAAAGAGCUCGUAGGCGGUCCGUCACGUCCGCUAUGAAAACCCAGGGCUCAACCCUGGGCUUGCAGUGGAUACGGGCAGACUAGAGGUAGGUAGGGGAGAAUGGAAUUCCCGGUGUAGCGGUGAAAUGCGCAGAUAUCGGGAGGAACACCGGUGGCGAAAGCGGUUCUCUGGGCCUUACCUGACGCUGAGGAGCGAAAGCGUGGGGAGCGAACAGG
This 253-nucleotide ribosomal RNA is filed under the name uncultured bacterium. RNAcentral's name for it is "partial 16S ribosomal RNA". It matches the Rfam family "Bacterial small subunit ribosomal RNA", at positions 524 to 776 of the family's 1533-position model. The record is from RNAcentral.